RNAcentral lists this long non-coding RNA (234 nucleotides) under Gossypium raimondii (Peruvian cotton). Its description in RNAcentral is "long non-coding RNA (GRAI_LNC001318)". The record is from RNAcentral. Lineage: Eukaryota; Viridiplantae; Streptophyta; Magnoliopsida; Malvales; Malvaceae.
GGAGAGGUAAGGGGAGGAAAUCAAAGGAAGUUGGGUAGGUGAUAGUUGGUGCUGAAAUGGGGUAUUUGCUUUUGGAAUUUCGGCUAGUGUGUUGUAAGGAUGCCAUUUUUCUUUUAGUCAUUUCAGCUUUUGGCUCAUUUUGUCUGGUUUUGAAAUAGUGAUGUGGGUAGUGGCUGAUUUUACUCUAGUCAUUCCUUUCAUUUUAGUUCUUUUUGCCUUUCGUCAAAAUCGAGC